GGGGAUGUAGCUCAGCGGUAGAGCGCUUGCUUUGCAUGUAAGAGGCCCUGGGUUCAAGCCCCAGCAUCUCCA
RNAcentral lists this transfer RNA (72 nucleotides) under Chaetura pelagica (chimney swift). It matches the Rfam family "tRNA". Rfam says of the family: Transfer RNA (tRNA) molecules are approximately 80 nucleotides in length. The record is from Rfam by way of RNAcentral. Lineage: Eukaryota; Metazoa; Chordata; Aves; Apodiformes; Apodidae.